RNAcentral lists this ribosomal RNA (495 nucleotides) under uncultured bacterium. Its description in RNAcentral is "partial 16S ribosomal RNA". It matches the Rfam family "Bacterial small subunit ribosomal RNA", at positions 28 to 507 of the family's 1533-position model. The record is from RNAcentral.
GACGAACGCUGGCGGCGUGCCUAAUACAUGCAAGUAGAACGCUGAAGGAGGAGCUUGCUUCUCUGGAUGAGUUGCGAACGGGUGAGUAACGCGUAGGUAACCUGCCUGGUAGCGGGGGAUAACUAUUGGAAACGAUAGCUAAUACCGCAUAAGAGUAGAUGUUGCAUGACAUUUGCUUAAAAGGUGCAAUUGCAUCACUACCAGAUGGACCUGCGUUGUAUUAGCUAGUUGGUGGGGUAACGGCUCACCAAGGCGACGAUACAUAGCCGACCUGAGAGGGUGAUCGGCCACACUGGGACUGAGACACGGCCCAGACGCCUACGGGAGGCAGCAGUAGGGAAUCUUCGGCAAUGGACGGAAGUCUGACCGAGCAACGCCGCGUGAGUGAAGAAGGAUUUCGGAUCGUAAAGCUCUGUUGUAAGAGAAGAACGAGUGUGAGAGUGGAAAGUUCACACUGUGACGGUAUCUUACCAGAAAGGGACGGCUAACUACGUG